RNAcentral lists this ribosomal RNA (671 nucleotides) under Kluyvera sp. 6hR9. Its description in RNAcentral is "bacterial SSU rRNA". It matches the Rfam family "Bacterial small subunit ribosomal RNA", at positions 68 to 733 of the family's 1533-position model. The record is from RNAcentral. Lineage: Bacteria; Pseudomonadati; Pseudomonadota; Gammaproteobacteria; Enterobacterales; Enterobacteriaceae.
AGCACAGAGAGCUUGCUCUUGGGUGACGAGUGGCGGACGGGUGAGUAAUGUCUGGGAAACUGCCCGAUGGAGGGGGAUAACUACUGGAAACGGUAGCUAAUACCGCAUAACGUCGCAAGACCAAAGUGGGGGACCUUCGGGCCUCACACCAUCGGAUGUGCCCAGAUGGGAUUAGCUAGUAGGUGGGGUAAUGGCUCACCUAGGCGACGAUCCCUAGCUGGUCUGAGAGGAUGACCAGCCACACUGGAACUGAGACACGGUCCAGACUCCUACGGGAGGCAGCAGUGGGGAAUAUUGCACAAUGGGCGCAAGCCUGAUGCAGCCAUGCCGCGUGUAUGAAGAAGGCCUUCGGGUUGUAAAGUACUUUCAGCGAGGAGGAAGGCAUUAAGGUUAAUAACCUUAGUGAUUGACGUUACUCGCAGAAGAAGCACCGGCUAACUCCGUGCCAGCAGCCGCGGUAAUACGGAGGGUGCAAGCGUUAAUCGGAAUUACUGGGCGUAAAGCGCACGCAGGCGGUCUGUCAAGUCGGAUGUGAAAUCCCCGGGCUCAACCUGGGAACUGCAUUCGAAACUGGCAGGCUAGAGUCUUGUAGAGGGGGGUAGAAUUCCAGGUGUAGCGGUGAAAUGCGUAGAGAUCUGGAGGAAUACCGGUGGCGAAGGCGGCCCCCUGGA